Molecule: long non-coding RNA, 2560 nt
Organism: Cottoperca gobio
Lineage: Eukaryota; Metazoa; Chordata; Actinopteri; Perciformes; Bovichtidae
Source: Ensembl
CACAAACUGCUACUUUAGUAGAAAUAUCAAACCAAAGGAUUCAAAACUAGGCAGCUCAUAUAAAUCAGUAAUAGUCAAGGGCCACCUCACCAGGCCUGCAAGCAACACAGUUCUUCUAUCAUGUUUGACAACGUUAUCUCAAAGCCUCUUGGGUUAGUUUUGAUUGUCACAGCUCACAUGGUGUUCAACGGCCUGAGCCAAGCUGAGAUCACUGGGCUCCCCGGCACCAACGUCACUCUUCAAUUCACGUUUAACGUCAGUGUCCCUGAAAGCUUUGCAGUUUAUACAAAAAACCACACAACAAAAUACACACAAAAGGUAGCUGGGUAUUCACAGGGCAAAAGCUCCUCAAAAGAAGAAAAUGUUAAGGUCUACGCUAAAAAUAUGUCCGUGUUCUUUCACAUUACAAAUCUCAAACUAAGUCAAAGUGGAAUUUACUGGGCCAGUUUGUUCAGGGACUUAGGACUCCCCAAAGAAAGUAAGAUGGUGGAGCUGAUCGUCCAAGAUGAGAACAGAAGCAGCACAGUGCCUCCAGUACCAAAUGACAUCACAAUAAAUGAAGACAGUGGAAGUCCCAGUUUAUUUUCUUCUCAAUUCGUCACUGUCCUUGUGGUUUCACUAGUAGUGCUGCUAGCUGCAGCAUUUUCCUUGUUGAUCUGGUGUCUCGUGAGAAGCAAAGACAAACAACAACCACCACCACAACAAAGCUCUAACCCCACAGUACAGAAAACAGAUGAGGCGUCCAACAAUGUGCCUGCACCCCCACUUGUCUACAGCUUCCUGGACUUUCCCAAAAGACCUUCGUCGGUUUUCGUGAUUAAUGCAAGUGAAACAGAGUACGCUGCUGUCAGUUAUCGCCCAGAAAAUAGACAAGGGUGACAUGCAGCUGAAUGUAAACUAAGUGGUCUCUCUCGGUUUGGGUUAUGGUAUGCAAGAUGAUUUAUAUAUAAUCCUAAUAUAUAUUUAAUAUAUGAUGAAUCCCUGCAAACCUCAAGCCAGCACACAUUAUGUGACAGUAACAAAUAAACCUCUUGAUUUGUUUUAGUUUUGUUAUCAUUAACAAAAACCAUAAAAGGACAUAAACCUACAAUUAAAAUAUUCUACUUAAACAUUCCUGCGGUGUCAAAAUCUGAUAUAUCUUAUGUAUCUGUGCCAUAGACCUUCAUUGAUGUCUAGUUUAUUUUGAGUACCACAAACAUUUUCCUCCGGCUGUAAAUACUCACCGCUGUGCCGCUGUGCCCUGUGUUAAUUAGAGUAUUUAUUUUACAUUAAAACAUUUUGAGCAGUUUUUACAUAUAAUAUAUAUUUUUGUUUUCAGACCAAUGGGCUUGUGGUUACAGACAGGAAAGUCAGAAAGUAUUGAGUGCUGGACUAACACACUCAUGGGUUUGGUCUUUUCAUGGGAUUUGUUGAUAAUAACAAAACAUAUAGAAUAAGGCUUAUUCCUUAAACCACAAUAAAAGUUAAAGUAACUAGCUAGCUAGUACAUUGUCUUCAGAUUUGUAAAUACAUUUCUGAAGUUGUGGAGGGACGACAGAUGACUGACAAGAUAUUAUAAUAUUUAUUAUACCAUAAGACCAUAAGUCUUAAAGCUAACUGACAUUUAAUUAAAAAAUAAAAUUCAACCAUUCAACCUUUCCUCUCUAGAUUUAAUUUGGACUCCAGUGUUGAAUUUUUCUGUAGUGACAUCUAUGACAAUUAAUAUUCAUAUACAAUACUAUAUCUUCAGCAUGGAGGUGUGGUAUCUUUAAAGGCUCUUUUUAGGUUUCAGGUUGAAGCUUUUCUUUAUCUUUUCUGUCAAUUAUUUUUUGAUUUGACUCAGAGUUUCCACUGUUUAAAUAAACAAAACUAAGAGCCAUUAGAGAAAUGAAACAGGAUAUGGUAAAAACUGUAUUUAGUUUAGAGAUCUCAGUUCAACAUUACUGUGUAUUCACAGGUAGCAGGAGAGAUUUUCCAUUUACUCUCUCGUGUGACAGUUUUACACAUAGGACAAUUAUCUGACACUAUCUGACUGCUAUUUUCCACUGCUUGGUCUCUGAAGUUCUCUUUUGGCAGGUUCUUGUUGAUGUUUUGAUAGAUUAGUCAGACGAAGUUUCGAUUUAUGUUCUCAAUGCCACAUUUUAAUGUCAUUAAUGCGUUGAUAUGUAUAUAUUAUGUAGAGUUAAAUUCAACCAACAUAUCUGUUAAUUAACCAGUGGCAGAUAAGCAGGUUGAUUAUUCAUCCCUGAUGUUGGUUAUUACUCAGGAAGGAAAAUAACCGACCAACCUGAUAAAUGAUGACAUGAGUUUUUGUAAAAGGUGGCCACAAUGGCAACCAAACACAGACUGAAGUUGUUGUUUUUUUAUUAUGAAAACCUUGUUGGUAAAAUAGCAAAAGUGCAUUUUGAAUCUACCAAGUUACUAAGUUUCUUGUUUUAUUAUUUCAUUGUACUGAAAUGCAGCAGUGAAUGUCAAAAUACAGUAAUACACUUUAUUUUUUGUGUGCUAAUAAUGUCCUUUGUUCAUCAAAGCUGCAAGCUGAGUUUGUUAAAUUGCUGGUGUCCUGAAUAAAAUGUCUCAC